RNAcentral lists this small RNA (569 nucleotides) under Pongo abelii (Sumatran orangutan). RNAcentral's name for it is "retained intron". The record is from RNAcentral. Lineage: Eukaryota; Metazoa; Chordata; Mammalia; Primates; Hominidae.
GGAAUCAGGAACUGGCCGGGGUCGGCACCGGGCCUGAGUCGGUCCGAGGCCGUCCCAGGAGCAGCUGCCCGCGCGGGACAGCACUAUGGGCUUCUCUUCUGAGCUGUGCAGCCCCCAGGGCCACGGGGUCCUGCAGCAGAUGCAGGAGGCCGAGCUUCGUCUACUGGAGGGCAUGAGAAAGUGGAUGGCCCAGCGGGUCAAGAGUGACAGGGAGUAUGCAGGACUGCUUCACCACAUGUCCCUACAGGACAGUGGGGGCCAGAGCCGUGCCAUCAGCCCUGACAGCCCCAUCAGCCAGGUGGGUCUCUAUGGGACUGUGGUGGGUGCUGGCUGUAUCUGCCUUCUCCUUCCUCUCCUGGGGGCCCUCUGGGGCAGUGGCUGGAGAUCUGGCAGGCCAAGGCUUGGGAGGCAUUGUGCCCCCCUCCCUGCCUCCCCUAUCUGUGCUGUAUAGUCCUGGGCCGAGAUCACCAGCCAAACUGAGGGCCUGAGCCGGUUGCUGCGGCAGCAUGCAGAGGAUCUGAACUCAGGGCCCCUGAGCAAGUUGAGCCUGCUCAUCCGGGAACGGCAGC